AGCUGUGAGGGCGAUCUGACUGUGACAACUGCCACCCCAUUGAUAGCCAGGGUUGAUUCAGCCGAUCUGACUGGCUAGCCGAGUGUCCCCUUCCUCCCUCACCCCUCCAUGUGUGCCCCUCCUGAAGCUGAAUGCUCAAUUGAAGAGGAUGCCCAUCCCCGCUAGAGAAGGACCAUUCGCUUUCCCCUGCCAGGACCUCCAGAAUGCAGCUCGAGGUUCAGACACGGAAGGCUGGGGAAUGAACACAGCACCUCUGAAAAUGUGGAGAACGUGAGACAUUUU
This 282-nucleotide small nuclear RNA is filed under the name Carlito syrichta (Philippine tarsier). RNAcentral's name for it is "7SK RNA (ENSTSYG00000034432.1)". It matches the Rfam family "7SK RNA". From Rfam's summary of the family: 7SK was discovered as an abundant small nuclear RNA in the mid-70s but a possible function has only recently been suggested. Two independent studies have found that 7SK RNA binds the CDK9/cyclin T complex (known as elongation factor P-TEFb). P-TEFb activates transcription by phosphorylating the C-terminal domain of RNA polymerase II. Lineage: Eukaryota; Metazoa; Chordata; Mammalia; Primates; Tarsiidae. The record is from RNAcentral.